Molecule: long non-coding RNA, 1252 nt
Organism: Podarcis raffonei (Aeolian wall lizard)
Lineage: Eukaryota; Metazoa; Chordata; Lepidosauria; Squamata; Lacertidae
Exons: 2
Source: RefSeq, a predicted model, not a curated record
GAAAGACUUGUUCUAGUUCCCGAGCUGAUUUUGCUGUUACAGAAAAGCCGCAACUUAAACCGCCUUUGAUAGCCUAUGGCUAUCUGAACAGCCCAUGUGCAGAGAGGAAAAUGGAAAGGUAUCUUGAGUAGCUAUGAAGUAGUAUGACUUGAUGUAGCGAUGGAAAUAUGCUGAAAGAAGAGAUGCAUGGAGGCAAUGCUUUAAAGUGUGCUUGGUGUUUCAGCUCCAGCAACAAGAUUUGUGGCGUAACAAAAUUAUUGUGGCAUGAGCCUUUUUCAUCAGAUGCAGCAGCUAUGGAGAUGAUGGAUGCAAGCAGGGACCAAAGGACUGGUCCUUUUUAUUUCCCCUGCAAUGGUUGCUCAAGUUCUUUCUCACCCAUCCACAGUGACAUGGCAAGCCCUCUUUGCUGUUGACACUUGUUUUUGUCCCACACAGCAUCUUUUGCCAUUGUGUUCAGGAUUGAAAUGUGCGGGGAGAUAAACAUUUGGGCCAUUGGGGUGGGGUGAGAGGAGCAUCCGUCCUGGGUGAAACAGAUAUGCAUUCCAGAAGGGUGUAAAAGAUCAUGGGUUGUGUCCAAGUAAGUCGUAAGUACGUUUAUUGAAAUUAACGAGCUUAAGGGCAUUGGUUUCAAUGGAUCCUACUCCCGAGUGUGACUUGAUUAGAUAAACCCUACGUAAUAUUUUAAUAAAUGUUAAUAAAAGUUAUUUAGAUGCUAGAUUUAAAAAAUGUCAGGUUCAGAGGCUUAGUGAGAGCAGCAUGGCAGGCAAAUUGAUAGCAAUUUUUCAUUGGCUCUGUGUCUAGUGGCAUUCAGGCACUGAAUCUGGUUAACUGAGCCUGAGACUUAACCCCAGCCAGUUGAUGCAGAUUGGACAACAGUUAUGGGAAGAGAAGUUCCCCAACAGCUUCUUAGAAGCACAGUCUCAUCUGAGUAGUGGGAAUGACAUGUUAUCAGUAAUGCAUUAAAUUUAGAAAGCGCUGCAUCUGUAAGAAAUCAUUAUUUUAGUGUGCCAGCUCCUACACUUUGAAACUCCCUGCCUAUUGACUUCAGCCAGUACGAUUCACUGUACUGUUUUCAGUGCCUGCUUCAAAACAUUUUUGUUUAGGCAAGGUAUGUAGAACACUGACAUGUGUUUUAAUCUGGUUUUUAGUUUAUUGCUUUAUUUUUGUAAACCGCUUUGCUGUUUGGUUUGGUUUUACAAUCAAAUAGUAUGCAAAUUUUGUGAAAUAAAUAAACAUACAAACAUUUUUGGUG